RNAcentral lists this ribosomal RNA (396 nucleotides) under uncultured bacterium. RNAcentral describes it as "bacterial SSU rRNA". It matches the Rfam family "Bacterial small subunit ribosomal RNA", at positions 957 to 1353 of the family's 1533-position model. The record is from RNAcentral.
UAACGCGAAGAACCUUACCAGGUCUUGACAUCCUUUGAAGCUUUUAGAGAUAGAAGUGUUCUCUUCGGAGACAAAGUGACAGGUGGUGCAUGGUCGUCGUCAGCUCGUGUCGUGAGAUGUUGGGUUAAGUCCCGCAACGAGCGCAACCCUUAUUGUUAGUUGCCAGCAUUCAGUUGGGCACUCUAGCGAGACUGCCGGUGACAAACCGGAGGAAGGCGGGGACGACGUCAAAUCAUCAUGCCCCUUAUGACCUGGGCUACACACGUGCUACAAUGGAUGGUACAACGAGUUGCGAACUCGCGAGAGUAAGCUAAUCUCUUAAAGCCAUUCUCAGUUCGGAUUGUAGGCUGCAACUCGCCUACAUGAAGUCGGAAUCGCUAGUAAUCGCGGAUCAGC